RNAcentral lists this long non-coding RNA (492 nucleotides) under Oryza sativa (Asian cultivated rice). Its description in RNAcentral is "long non-coding RNA (OSAT_LNC000325)". Lineage: Eukaryota; Viridiplantae; Streptophyta; Magnoliopsida; Poales; Poaceae. The record is from RNAcentral.
UCAGUUGCUGAGCCUAUGUAAGCACACAAAGUUGCGCACUCUACUGUGCUACAGGUCUUUACAGAAGCAAAGUCUAGCUUCUGUUAUGGACCAUUGGUGUAGUAAACUUCAGCAUAUGCGCGUGGUUUUGUGUGCCCACACAAAGGAGCUACCGAAGAGUAUUGGGAAAUUGAAGCAUCUACGGUACCUGGAAAUCUCCGGAGCUUGUCCUUUCAAAAGCCUUCCCUCGGAGUUAUGUCACCUACAUAAUUUGCAGAUUUUUUCAGCUCGAAAAUGCAAAUUAGAAAGCUUGCCCGGUGACUUCAGUAAGCUAUGCAAUUUACAGAGGUUCGAAUCAUGUGGAUUUAACUCUCCCAAAUGGAGAAAGUCAUUUUGAUGCAUCCACUGGGCAGGGAGUCGGACUUACAUUGAUGAAGAACGUGAACCAAAUUUGUGGAGGAGUGACGAUAAAUAAUCUUGGUGCAACAAGCAAGGAUAUUGCAGCAGAAAGUG